GCCGCUAUGGUGAAAUUGGUAGACACGCUGCUCUUARGGAAGCAGA
Molecule: transfer RNA, 46 nt
Filed under: Cyclopia longifolia
Lineage: Eukaryota; Viridiplantae; Streptophyta; Magnoliopsida; Fabales; Fabaceae
Description: partial tRNA-Leu
Source: RNAcentral